RNAcentral lists this ribosomal RNA (253 nucleotides) under uncultured bacterium. RNAcentral's name for it is "partial 16S ribosomal RNA". It matches the Rfam family "Bacterial small subunit ribosomal RNA", at positions 524 to 776 of the family's 1533-position model. The record is from RNAcentral.
UACGUAGGGGGCAAGCGUUAUCCGGAAUCACUGGGUGUAAAGGGAGCGUAGACGGCUGAGCAAGCCUGAAGUGAAAGGCGGGGGCCCAACCCCUGGACUGCUUUGGGAACUGUACGGCUGGAGUGCAGGAGAGGUAAGUGGAAUUCCUAGUGUAGCGGUGAAAUGCGUAGAUAUUAGGAGGGACACCAGUGGCGAAGGCGGCUUACUGGACUGUAACUGACGUUGAGGCUCGAAAGCGUGGGGAGCAAACAGG